Long non-coding RNA from Carassius gibelio (silver crucian carp), 1437 nucleotides. RefSeq lists it as uncharacterized. The transcript has 4 exons. Lineage: Eukaryota; Metazoa; Chordata; Actinopteri; Cypriniformes; Cyprinidae. The record is from RefSeq and is a predicted model, not a curated record.
GCCCAGCAUCAUCGGCAUCAUCAUAAUCAAUAUAAUCAAUUCUGAUUUGGAGAGUUUGCCACCUGUUGUCAAUGUUUCAGUGUCAGCACGCGUCCAGAAAGACAAGAGCGCCUUGUCUUCAGAAGAAAUCCAUGGUUUGGUGAGCUUGAGAGGCACAUUUAGGCAGCAAAGGAGACAUUGUGGAUUACAGACAUGUUUCAUGUGUUCCAUGUGCAGUUGCAUGAGGAUGAAGAUGAUAUUCAUUCAUGAGAUGUGUUUUUGCAGACAUAACAUCCAGAGCACCAAUGUCCCAGCGCUCAGGCCUAAAACCUGUUUCUGAGGGUUGGUUUCUCUCUUUGGUUAUCUAGCUGUAUGAGUUUUAACACUUUUCAUAAAGCUAGAUAACCGAAAGUAGAAAUAAUUCUCGAAAUCUGUUGAGAACAGCAAGAGAGCACCCACUUUUUCCUCAGAGUUUUAUUUCCAUCCACAUUAUGGCCCAAAAAAGUAACAACAACAAGGACAGAGCCAUCCGAGAGAGAGCGAGAGAGAGAGAUACUCGGAGGAACAUUGCUAUAUCUUCCCCUCUCCUCCUACCCAGAAACCCCCAGUGCCAUCUGUACCCCUGUGGGGUGCGGGAGAAUCUGUGCCAGUGCCAGCGGCGACAAAACCCUCGUCAGCGUCCGGGACGGCACAGGGAGGAAGGGAGGCCAUCUUGAAGGAGAUCUUACACAAGAAGCUAAGAUGGCUGGGCUGGCACAUGAGAUGUGGACUGAACUUUGGAUUCACACUUUGCUGAAAAUUUGUCGAAAACGACUAAUUAUUCAUCCAGAGAUAACAAUGGGAGCCUCAAGCACCUGAAAGUUUAAGAGGCACAUAAAAUCAUGUUGAUAAUGAUGAUGUGUGUGUGUAUAUGAGAACAAAAUUAAUUUGUCUUUAAUGAAAAAGAAUUGUACUUUAUAGUAUUUUCAGUCAAAUUAAAUUAAUGUUCUUUCUUUCAUAGCUAUAAAUGAGAAAAAUUAUGUGAAUUUUAUAUACACAUAAUUUUGCAUUUUUACAUGUAUGCAUUUCCUGUGUUUUUAUGUUUGUGUGUUUUUUUUGUUUUGUUUUUUGUUUGAAUUUUUAUUUUCAUUUAAUUUUAUUUCUAAAUAAAAUGUUUCUAUAUUGUAUUAUAAUGAUGAAUAACCAGUGAUUCAUUAGUGAAUUAUAUGAAUCAGCUAUUUGCAUUUAAUUGACGUCAGAUUGUGUCACACCUGGCAACCCAGUGAAGAGUUAAUUACUGUGACUUAAUGAGCUUUAUUUCUAGGCUACAUAUAAAACACUUGUAGCAUACAUUUUUUAGAAUUAUAAUCAUCUUGAAGAUCAGACUUCUGUGUCAAAAAGACUGUGUUUCAGUUACAAUGUUUUGAAUAAAAUAUUUUAAUAAGAACCCAUGAAAUAUAAUAAAUGACUUAAGCACGA